RNAcentral lists this long non-coding RNA (346 nucleotides) under Phoenix dactylifera (date palm). RNAcentral describes it as "long non-coding RNA (PDAC_LNC014288)". Lineage: Eukaryota; Viridiplantae; Streptophyta; Magnoliopsida; Arecales; Arecaceae. The record is from RNAcentral.
CAUCAUGUCAUGUUUCAGAAUGGGAUGAGUCAAAAAAUGGACCAAGACAAAUGAGACAUCUAUUGUCCUAAGUGUCAGGUAUGCUGGCCCAUUCCACAAAAAAACCAGGACAGCUUGCAUGGUAUUUACAAUUAAAACCACUACCUUAAUACUAUAUACAUGAAUCCCUCAGUUUGAUGAACCAAAUCUUGACUAUACAACAAUGAUGGCAUAUGAUAAUAUCACAACUAGCAAUGGAAUCAUGUGCCACAUGAUUGAAAUUAGUAAACCAAAAUGGUGAGUCAUGUUGUCACCACUGUUAGAUGCAUCUUAUGCAAUUGAAUCAGCACCUCUACUAAAUUACAAC